GAUGAACGCUGGCGGCGUGCCUAAUACAUGCAAGUCGAGCGAACGGACGAGAAGCUUGCUUCUCUGAUGUUAGCGGCGGACGGGUGAGUAACACGUGGAUAACCUACCUAUAAGACUGGGAUAACUUCGGGAAACCGGAGCUAAUACCGGAUAAUACUUUGAACCGCAUGGUUCAAAAGUGAAAGACGGUCUUGCUGUCACUUAUAGAUGGAUCCGCGCUGCAUUAGCUAGUUGGUAAGGUAACGGCUUACCAAGGCAACGAUGCAUAGCCGACCUGAGAGGGUGAUCGGCCACACUGGAACUGAGACACGGUCCAGACUCCUACGGGAGGCAGCAGUAGGGAAUCUUCCGCAAUGGGCGAAAGCCUGACGGAGCAACGCCGCGUGAGUGAUGAAGGUCUUCGGAUCGUAAAACUCUGUUAUUAGGGAAGAACAUAUGUGUAAGUAACUGUGCACAUCUUGACGGUACCUAAUCAGAAAGCCACGGCUAACUACGUG
RNAcentral lists this ribosomal RNA (497 nucleotides) under uncultured bacterium. RNAcentral describes it as "partial 16S ribosomal RNA". It matches the Rfam family "Bacterial small subunit ribosomal RNA", at positions 28 to 507 of the family's 1533-position model. The record is from RNAcentral.